Molecule: long non-coding RNA, 4522 nt
Filed under: Equus caballus (horse)
Lineage: Eukaryota; Metazoa; Chordata; Mammalia; Perissodactyla; Equidae
Description: lncRNA (ENSECAG00000036593.2)
Source: RNAcentral
GGGGUCCAAGGUCAGGACUCCAGCUCUGCAGGCAUCCAGGAACUACUUAAGAUACAGGGGUUCUGUUUGUGAGGCUGAGGCUGUCGGGCCUGGGCACAGUGUGGCCUGGGCCUUGGGGCAUGGCGGGGAGAAGGCCUGGUCCUGGGGUGGAUAAGUGGCCUGGAGCAGGGGUCUGGGUGUGGAAGCCAGGACCUGAAGGCCCAGCUGUAACGGAGGUUACAAAGCUGUGUUAUGGAAGGCCCCAGGAGUUGGGUAGGUUUCCUGGUUGAGAAGCUUGGAGGGGCCUGUUUGCAAAACAUCUGGAGGAUGUGUGUCGCUGUCCAGUCAAGCUGGAAAGCAUCCCACGUGGCUCAUGGGUCGGGGCGUAGCAGCACUGACCACAGGGGAGACACAGGGACACCCAGACUCUGUCCUUGCGGUGACAAGAGAAUUGUCUUCAGGAAAAGAACACCAGAAGCUCACACACACCAGAUUCUUAAUGGGCCAGCAUGGUUCAGGAAGGUGUUGAGUCUUGAUGGACCCAAGAGCCAGGACUCUGGCAGGAGAACGGAAUCCCUGAUGGAUUCAGACAGAGCAGUAGGAUCCUGCUGGGAGUGGGUUUGCCUGGGUACCAAAGCAAACUUUUAACCAAGUAGGUCCCUGGGCCUCUGCUUGACCCCACUGACCCCAUGUGGCAGAAGGUAAGAGCUCAGGCCCUGGAGUCACACUGAUCUGAGUUCAAUUCCUCAUUCUACCACUCACCAUGCUGUAAGACCUUGGACAAGUUACUUCAUCCCUCUGAACCUCAGUUUCUUCAUUUACAAAAUGGGUGUAGCACUAUUUACCUCACAAAAGUGUUGAGGAGUAGUCCAUCUUGAGAAGGCUCUGACAGUUGGGUCAUGGAGAAGACCAGUAACCAGUGAUAACUGUGGCAGGAGGGGUCUGGGUGGGUAGACACUGACGGUUCUGCAUCUAGGAGGCUCUAGAGAGCAGAAUAUUCACUGCAUUCCCUCCAUGCUCCCCCCCUAAACACACAGGCUGGGAUGUCAGAGCUGGAAGGACCUCAGAGACCACUCAAGGUGGUCAACCAGCUUCUCAGAGGCCAGGCCGUGACUGGAGUCAUGCCCUCCUGGCUUGGUAGGACUCAUUCUGCCAAAUACUCCAGUGAUUAGAGCAUGGCCAUCAGCUCUAGAGUCCACCAAGUCUGCAUUCAAAUCCCUAGCUCUACCACUCAGUCACCUUGCCUCUCUAAUCCUGUUCUUUCAUCCCUAAAAUGAGGAUAAUACUGAUCCACACCUUGGAGUUGUGCUGGCCAAUAUGGUGGCCACUUACUAUGUGUAGCAUUUAACUAUAAUUAAAAUUAAAUAAAAUUAAAAUGAAUAAAGUUCACGUUCUCAGUUGCACUGGCUGUGUUUCAGAUGCUCAAUAGCUGCAUGUGGCUGGUGACCACUGUAUUGGACAAUGCAGACAUAGAAUAUUUCCAUCACUGCAGGAAGUUCUGUGGGGUUGAAGAUGAGAUUGCUGACCUGCUACUGGUCUCAUUCUUCCACAUGGACCAAGGAGCAGAGGAAGCCAGUCUGCAAUAUGGAGAAGAAUGAAGCAGAUGCAGUCAUGGCUUCUGAGAGCAAGGCUGGGAGUGGCUGCCUGGAUCCCGGAAGGCUGUCACUUUCUGCAUGUACUUCCUGUUCUUGGGUUCUGUGAGACACCCUCUAGCUUCUGCAUAUACAUUUUAAGUGACUAUUUCUAAAGUUGGGAAAUUAAGAGUAGCUGCUGAUUCUAAAGAGAAGCUACAUGAAUUUGGAACUUUUGUGCAUUACCAGUGAGUUUACUGGAGGUAAUCAAGCUGGACCUCACUUGGAGAUGUCAUAAAGAAAUGCCAACACUUGGUGAGCAGACGCUUAAGUAAAGAAGGAAGCCAUAGGAGUGGGUAAGAUCUCCCAGAGAGAAAGUGUGGAGAGAAGUCACAGGAACCUUGCAGAACAACCACAUUUAGAGAUUAAUUGGAAGGUGUAAGGGCAAAGAGUGAGUGAUUUACCAGAGAAUUGGGGAAGCUAGGAUGCUAGUGUCCAAAGAUUCCAAGGGAAGAGCAAAUUCAAGGAUCUUAACACACAAGGAAACACCGGUGACUUUGGGCAGGCUUUGGGGUUGGUUGAGUGAGAAGCUCGAUGAUGUCACUUAGAACCCAGGUUCUUUCUACUUCUCUGCUCUGCUGCACUUGGCACUAGCUUCAUCUAAGGGUUGACUCCUCCCUUGGUUGAGAAAUAACUGCCAGUAAUGGGCAUGGUGGAAGAAAGAUAGGGAAUGUUCUCCCAGCCAUGGACUCUAAACUUUGCUCUUCAAUCUGAUUGGACCACUUCAGAUCAUGUGCACAUCUCUAGGCCAGUAAGGUUCACCAGAUAAACGCCAUUUACUGACCGGCUUAGACAAGUGAGGAGCUACUCCUUAAACUGGAGGUGGGAUCAGCAUCCCCUGAAGUAUAGAGGAUUGUGCUCCACCUGAACAUGCUCAGGGUUCUGUUGGAGAGGAAGAAAGGGGAUUGGAAUCAUCAGAGGCAAUGAACAGUCCCCCACAUGUGGCCCACAAGGCCUGCAUGAGCUGGUCCUGCCUCACCCAGUUCUUGCUGUCUGUGUUUUGUAAAGUUCUUAGAAUGGAGUAGGUUUCUUUCGCCCUCAGACCUUCUCAUACACUGAUCCUUCUGUGGGGAAUAGUCUCCAUGAUAUUUGUUGCCUAAUUCUUGUUCUUAUAUUGUCUCACUCAAAUGUCAUUCUUUGAAGAGAACUUUCCAAUCCUCCUAAACUAAAUUGGGUUCCCCUGCCCCCACCUCCCACUCGUGUCCCUAUUGGAAUCUAAUUUCAAGUUGUAAUUAUGUUUCUAUUGUGUUCAUUUGUAGCUCUAUGGGGCAGGCGCCAUGUUUGUUCUGCUCACCAAGGAAUCCUCAGAGGUUGGCGCACAGCAGAUGCUCAAGAAAUAUCUGUUGUGGGUGCUCCUAGUUGUGGCAUGUGGGACACCACCUCAACGUGGACUGACGAGUGGUGCCAUGUCCACACCCAGGAUCUGAACCAGCGAAACCCUACGCCAUCGAAGUGGAGCGUGUGAACUUAACUACUCGGCCACGGGGCUGGCUCCUCAAUCAACAAAUUUAAUGCCACUCUAGUCAAUAUCCUGAUGGGAUAAAAAGCAGAAGGAGGAAGAAGAGAAGGAGAAAGAGAAGAAUGAGAAGAGUAAUAAGAUCAGAGUGGUAUUUCAGGAAGACAUGCUUUUCUUAAACCAGAGGCCAACAAAAGUGACCCGUGGAAUCUGAGGAUGGUGGGACAGUCUGGGGCCGGGAGGGAAAAGAAACCAAAUGAAUGUCGCUCUUGAUCGAGGUAGAGAUGGGGUAUGGCACACAGAGUGUGGAGUUGAAGGCUGUGCAUCCCUCCUAGCUCUUCCACUCUUCCUGGGUGACCCGGAGCAAGCCAUCUAACCUCUCAGCAUCUCAGACUCCUCAUCUUCAACAAAGGGGAAGUGGGGCUAGAUUAUCUCUGGAACCCUGGAGGCCCACAAUAUCCAACAAUUCAGUUAAUUGAAAUGUAUUGUAAAAGCGCAGAUGGGUAUGAAUUUGGGGUGACUUUUGGGUGGUGGUGGCUAGCAGUAGGAAGCAGCGGUACCAGGUGAGACAACUCAGACCAUGCACAGCUCUAAUAUGGGGAAAUGAAGUAAUGGCACUAGCCCGCAUGUAUCAAGUACUUGUGUCAUUUACUCUACUAAACAGUUUACAUACAUUAUCUCAUUUAAUUCUCACAACAGCCCUGUGAGGUAGGCUCCAAUAUAUCACACAAUUAUGAGGAAACUGAGGCACAGAGAGGGUAAGUAAUCUACCCAAGAAACAUUGCCAGUAAAUAGGAAAGCCAGAAUCAACCCCAGAUCUAUUUCAAUUUCAAACCCUUAACCACUGUACGACAAGCAAGGGUGUAUAGAAUAACUAUUAAAGUCUUGUAUUUUAUCUUUCAAUUAAAAUUCAGAAACAUUCAUUGAAUAUCUAUCCGACACAGGAACCAGCUUGAAGAGGGUCCCAAUGGCUAAAUCUGGGACAAAUUCAGCACCCAAAUGAAGUACAGUGAUGAAUUAUAAACCACUGAAAAAAACAGGAUUCAUGAGUCCCCUUACCGAUAAUAGAUAGAUAAAUAAAUAAGCAGAAUACCAAGGGUUGGCUGGUAAACGUGGAGGGACUGCUGGAGCUGGAAAAUCAUCAUUUGGUUAUCAGCAGAGUAGAAAGGGUUCAGGCAGGAACCAUCAACGGAUGCUAAAUCUAAGGGGGAAAUGUUAACGAGCAAGAUAUUUGUAUGGUCUCAACGUAUCUUUCCAGAGACUGCUUAUUAAUUCAAGGGAGAAAAAAAAAUUGUACAGUGGAGAAAUUGAGCAACACCUUGAUGGAGGAGAAAAAUUUACAUUACCAGUAAGGUCAUUGUAUGCCUCCAGCUGUGAUACCCUUAGAAGGACAAAAUGUUAAUUUCGCAAUAUCCCAGCCAAGAAUGCAUAAACAAAACAUCAAACAAAUGCAAUC